Molecule: unclassified non-coding RNA, 250 nt
Filed under: Mortierella sp.
Lineage: Eukaryota; Fungi; Mortierellomycota; Mortierellomycetes; Mortierellales; Mortierellaceae
Description: partial internal transcribed spacer region
Rfam family: Eukaryotic small subunit ribosomal RNA (bases 1-46)
Source: RNAcentral
AAGUCGUAACAAGGUUUCCGUAGGUGAACCUGCGGAAGGAUCAUUCAAAAUAAAAGUGAAUUUUAUGGCACUUUUAAAAAAAUCCAUAUCCACCUUGUGUGCAAUGUAAUUUUUUGAAAGAGGGAUUUAUUUUCCUCUUUCUAAAAUCAUAUCAACUCUUUGCUUUGAACCUGUUUGUCUCUGAUAUAAAUAUAUUCUUGAAUAACUUAAUUCAAAAAUACAACUUUCAACAACGGAUCUCUUGGCUCUC